Molecule: ribosomal RNA, 1291 nt
Filed under: Drosophila ananassae
Lineage: Eukaryota; Metazoa; Arthropoda; Insecta; Diptera; Drosophilidae
Description: eukaryotic LSU rRNA
Rfam family: Eukaryotic large subunit ribosomal RNA
Source: RNAcentral
ACGACCAUAAAGAAGCCGUCGAGAGAUAUCGGAAGAGUUUUCUUUUCUGUUUUAUAGUCGUACUACCAUGGAAGUCUUUCGCAGAGAGAUAUGGUAGAUGGGCUAGAAGAGCAUGACAUAUACUGUUGUGUCGAUAUUUUCUCCUCGGACCUUGAAAAUUUAUGGUGGGGAUACGCAAACUUCUCAACAGGCCGUACCAAUAUCCGCAGCUGGUCUCCAAGGUGAAGAGUCUCUAGUCGAUAGAAUAAUGUAGGUAAGGGAAGUCGGCAAAUUAGAUCCGUAACUUCGGGAUAAGGAUUGGCUCUGAAGAUUGAGAUAGUCGGGCUUGAUUGGGAAACAAUAAUAUGGUUUAUGUGCUCGUUCUGGGUAAAUAGAGUUUCGAUCAUUUAUGGUUGUAACUUGUUCCCCGGAUAGUUAGUUACGUAUCCAAUUGUGGAACUUUCUUGCUAAAAUUUUUAAGAAUACUAGUUGGGUCAAACCAAUUAGUUCUUAUUAAUUAUAACGAUUAUCAAUUAACAAUCAAUUCAGAACUGGCACGGACUUGGGGAAUCCGACUGUCUAAUUAAAACAAAGCAUUGUGAUGGCCCUAGCGGGUGUUGACACAAUGUGAUUUCUGCCCAGUGCUCUGAAUGUCAAAGUGAAGAAAUUCAAGUAAGCGCGGGUCAACGGCGGGAGUAACUAUGACUCUCUUAAGGUAGCCAAAUGCCUCGUCAUCUAAUUAGUGACGCGCAUGAAUGGAUUAACGAGAUUCCUACUGUCCCUAUCUACUAUCUAGCGAAACCACAGCCAAGGGAACGGGCUUGGAAUAAUUAGCGGGGAAAGAAGACCCUUUUGAGCUUGACUCUAAUCUGGCAGUGUAAGGAGACAUAAGAGGUGUAGAAUAAGUGGGAGAUAUUAGACUUCGGUUUGGUAUCGCCAAUGAAAUACCACUACUCUUAUUGUUUCCUUACUUACUUGAUUAAAUGGAACGUGUAUCAUUUCCUAGCCAUUAUACGGAUAUAUUUAUUAUAUCUUAUGGUAUUGGGUUUUGAUGCAAGCUUCUUGAUCAAAGUAUCACGAGUUUGUUAUAUAAUCGCAAACAAAUUCUUUAAUGAGAGAUGCAUUUACUGUAUUAUUGAUUUGAAAAUUUGGUAUAACUCCAAUUACUCAGGUAUGAUCCAAUUCAAGGACAUUGCCAGGUAGGGAGUUUGACUGGGGCGGUACAUCUCUCAAAUAAUAACGGAGGUGUCCCAAGGCCAGCUCAGUGCGGACAGAAACCACACAUAGAGCAAAAGGGCAAAUGCUGACUUGA